GCAGGGAUCAGUAACUCAGAUAAUUCUUACCUACUUCAGUGCCAGCGUAGGGCCCUCCAGGCAGACGUGGAGAAGCACUUUGUUUUAAAUAGGAGGGUUUCCUGGUUGUAGCUGCAGCCACCUAGUUUUGUUAAACUACACAACGCACAGGUUUUGGGUUUGGCAUUAUUCACAAUUCUGAGCAAUUCUAUGCAACUCGUAGUUCCUGUUGUUCUUUUGUGUUAGCUGCCAAAAGUUCACGGGGCUGGGCUGGGUGACUUGACCGACGUGAGACGGGAUUAAUCAUAACGUGGACAGAUCUUAUUUUGCUUCAUGUGUCGUGUGUGUGUGUGUGUGUGUAUAUAUAUAUAUAUAUAAAUAUCUUUUCCCAGUGCGCCCAACUGACAGUGUUUAAAUCCCAGACUAAGACUGAUCUGCACAAGCUAAUUAUGUGGCUAUCUGGGCACUUGAUGUCACUCCGGGUUUGUCGGGCUCCCCUUCCUCCCUGCCCUCACAAGAGCUGGGAAACUUUCCCUCACUAAAAGGUUCCUAGUGUUUUUGCACAACAGGUCAUACAAGCGAGAAAGACACUGCACUGUGUGUGUGUGUGUGUGUGUGUGUGUGUGUGUGUCAACGCAUGUGCUAGGGAUGUGCGUGCCGAGGCCCCGUCCUGCUGGCCCGUGUCCCUCCCCAGACUGCGGCUGGGUGCAGACCUCGCUGUUCAGAUGGACUGCAGGUUCUCACUUCAAAACUAUGGAAUGGAGGUUUUAGCACCUUUAAAAAAAAAAAAAAGAUAAAUAACCUAGUCUUUUAAUUUAUAAGCGGUAUGCUGACAGGCUGGCGCCGAGGGUCUCGUUGUCUCCGCACGCAGGGCGCAGGUAGCUGUUCUAAGAGGCACUGGUCUGUGUAUAAAGAUACUUGGCUUGUUUUGUAUCUCUUUUCCCGGUGGCUGUCCUAGCACUUGCUGAGGUCAUCAGUGAUAAGGGAGGUGACGAAUGAGCGGCAACUCCCCCCCCCACCACACCCUCCACCGCUUUGUGUCUUUCUUGUUCAGUUACCAAAACAGCUGUAAGCCCAUCUAAAACUAGGUGCGUGGACAUUGUGCUAGGGUAGUUCCAGUGUGUCAACUUUAUGAAUUGAAAUAUAAACCAGUAAAAUUGUAUUACUAUUCCUUUUGUUGGUUUUAUUUUAACAGCAUAUUCAUUAAAUAUUUUGGUACAAAGAGCAUCACUUUGUAGAAACCGGUUUCAUCAUUAUGUGCUCCUGUCCCGUUUCCCCCGCUUCCACACGCAGCCCGAGAAGAGCAGCCUCCGUGCUGGCAGGUGGGUGCACUUGGGCCUCAGGCGCCCCCCACCUGCGCCCCGCGGCUCCGGUGUGCCGGCUCUGCAGGGGUGCGGCAAGACCAGCUGCUCCUCUGCGAGGCUGACGCCUGCGCCUCGGCCUCCGCGGCAAACAUGGAUCCCCCUCUGGGAAAUCAAGGGCCAUGGUUACAGGGCAGAGACAGGAGGUGGAAUUCCAGACCUAAAAUGUGACUGUUCGGGAGAAGUAGCCAGGGUCCAGUUCUCUGCUGCAGCGUUCAGGGAGAGGCGGCACGGACGACACAUCUGCAGGAAGAAGAGCAUUCUCCCCAACCUGAGGUUCUCCUCGUGUGACCCGCCCUCCAGGACCCUUCUACACCUGGCCUCGGAUGGAAAUGGGCUGAGCUGCAGGCCGCAAAGAAGGAAAGGCGGUGAGUGAAGCCCCUGUCUUGUCUGCUGUCCACUGCACUGAAGCCUGGCGAGUGCCCGGAGAGGCCUGGGCCGUGGCAGGUGCUCAACAGCAGCCAGAACAGUGGCUCCAGAGCAC
This is a long non-coding RNA of Ailuropoda melanoleuca (giant panda), 1824 nucleotides long. RefSeq lists it as uncharacterized. The record is from RefSeq and is a predicted model, not a curated record. The transcript has 3 exons. NCBI's taxonomy places the organism in Eukaryota, Metazoa, Chordata, Mammalia, Carnivora, Ursidae.